GGUUAAGUCCCGCAACGAGCGCAACCCUUAUUGCUAGUUACCAUCAUUAAGUUUGGGGGACUCUAGCGAGACUGCCAGUGAUAAACUGGAGGAAGGUGGGGAUGACGUCAAAUCAUCAUGCCCCUUAUGACCUGGGCUACAAACGUGAUACAAUGGCUGAAACAAAGGGCAGCGAAGCAGUGAUGUGGAGCGAAACCCAAAAAGCAGUCUCAGUUCGGAUUGAAGUCUGCAACUCGACUUCAUGAAGUCGGAAUCGCUAGUAAUCGCGGAUCAGAACGCCGCGGUGAAUACGUUCUCGGGGUUU
Molecule: ribosomal RNA, 304 nt
Filed under: uncultured Acholeplasma sp.
Lineage: Bacteria; Bacillati; Mycoplasmatota; Mollicutes; Acholeplasmatales; Acholeplasmataceae
Description: bacterial SSU rRNA
Rfam family: Bacterial small subunit ribosomal RNA
Source: RNAcentral